AGUCCACAUCGACGGGGAGGUUUGGCACCUCGAUGUCGGCUCAUCACAUCCUGGGGCUGUAGUAGGUCCCAAGGGUUGGGCUGUUCGCCCAUUAAAGUGGUACGCGGGCUGGGUUCAGAACGUCGUGGGACAGUUCGGUCCCUAUCCGUCGCAGGCGUAGGAAAUUUGAGAAGACCUGUCCUUAGUACGAGAGGACCGGGAUGGACGUACCUCUGGUGUACCAGUUGUCCUGCCAAGGGCAUGGCUGGGUAGCUAUGUACGGAAUGGAUAAGCGCUGAAAGCAUCUAAGCGCGAAGCCAACUUCAAGAUAAGAUUUCCCACCGCAAGGGUAAGACCCCAGAAAGACUAUCUGGUUG
Molecule: ribosomal RNA, 356 nt
Filed under: Clostridioides difficile
Lineage: Bacteria; Bacillati; Bacillota; Clostridia; Peptostreptococcales; Peptostreptococcaceae
Description: bacterial LSU rRNA
Rfam family: Bacterial large subunit ribosomal RNA
Source: RNAcentral